This 375-nucleotide ribosomal RNA is filed under the name uncultured bacterium. RNAcentral's name for it is "bacterial SSU rRNA". It matches the Rfam family "Bacterial small subunit ribosomal RNA", at positions 524 to 898 of the family's 1533-position model. The record is from RNAcentral.
UACGUAGGGAGCGAGCGUUGUCCGGAAUUAUUGGGUGUAAAGGGUGCGUAGGCGGCUAUGUAAGUCAGGCGUGUAAUUCAGAGGCUUAACCUCUUGACGGCGCUUGAAACUGUGUAGCUUGAGUGGAGUAGAGGCAGAUGGAAUUUCCAGUGUAGCGGUGAAAUGCGUAGAUAUUGGAAGGAACAUCGGUGGCGAAGGCGAUCUGCUGGGCUCUAACUGACGCUGAGGCACGAAAGCAUGGGGAGCAAACAGGAUUAGAUACCCUGGUAGUCCAUGCCGUAAACGAUGAUUACUAGGUGUGGGGGGACUGACCCCUUCCGUGCCGGAGUUAACACAAUAAGUAAUCCACCUGGGAAGUACGAUCGCAAGGUUGAA